GCGCACGCCUCUGCCGCGGAGGCCCAGGGCUCUUUGCAAAGUAAUUCACAACGUUUGCCGAACCUUAAACCUUUCCUGAUGCUCCUUCCUCUGACGUUAACUCGUUAAAGUCGC
Molecule: non-coding RNA, 114 nt
Organism: Myotis lucifugus (little brown bat)
Lineage: Eukaryota; Metazoa; Chordata; Mammalia; Chiroptera; Vespertilionidae
Source: Rfam